Molecule: ribosomal RNA, 513 nt
Filed under: Triticum aestivum (bread wheat)
Lineage: Eukaryota; Viridiplantae; Streptophyta; Magnoliopsida; Poales; Poaceae
Description: partial small subunit ribosomal RNA
Source: RNAcentral
AUGGCCGCCGGCGCGACCCAGCCCUUGCGUGGCGCGGCCGGUCCAAAAUCUUCAAGCCCACCCUCGGCUGCUCCCGAGGAGGUCCCUCGCCACCACGCCGCUUCCUUCCUCCAAUGCUGCAGUGCACAAGCUAUUCAUCUUCGUCGCCCAUGUCCAUCCAAGUAUUGUCACCAUUCGCUCCUACCUGAACUUCAUUGGGUACCCGUGGCGGCCUUCAUUGCGUGCGUCCGCCCCUCCUGUCUUCAUCCCCAAAGCCGCCGCCUCGACCCCAGGUGGCUCCUUCCCUGUCGGAUUGCUCGGGGAUCCAGCUCGUGCAGCCCGUCUCCAUUGGCUCAACUGUGUACUCAGUUCGGCCGCUGCAUUUGCACUGGCACUGGCAGGGUCAGUGGCAGGGACGCGAUGGAAGCAUGCUUGCCGCGCCUUGCAGCAACACUUCCGCAGUGGCCGGCGCCGGCUUCUGGUUAUGGCUGGGUUGGUUUGUUGGUUGUUGAGUGCCACUGCCACUACCUGGAG